This 468-nucleotide ribosomal RNA is filed under the name uncultured bacterium. RNAcentral describes it as "partial 16S ribosomal RNA". It matches the Rfam family "Bacterial small subunit ribosomal RNA", at positions 28 to 507 of the family's 1533-position model. The record is from RNAcentral.
GACGAACGCUGGCGGCGUGCUUAACACAUGCAAGUCGAACGGAAAGGCUCUUCUUUUGUGGGGUGCUCGAGUGGCUAACGGGUGAGUAACUCGUGAUUAAUUUGCCCUUGCCUAUGGGAUCAUUUCAUGAAACUGGGUCUAAUACCGGGUAGGAGCUCCUGUUUCAUGGAGGGGGUUGGAGCGUUUGGGUGGUUGGGUAUAGACUCGCGGCUUAUCCGCUUGUUGGUGGGGUAGUUGCUUACCAAGGCUUUGCCGGGUAGCUGGCCUGAGAGGGUGGCCGGCCAAACUGGAACGGAAAUACGGCCCGGACUCGAAUGGGAGGCAGGGGAGGAGAAUGUAACACAAGGGGAGGAAGCCUGACGUAACAAAGCCGUGUGCGGGAUGAGAGCCUGCGGGUUGGAAAGCGCUGUCGCCUGUGACGAAGCGUGAGUGACGGUAAUGGGUAAAGAAGCACCGGCUAACUACGUG